AGCGGUGUGGUGUAAUUGGUCAGCAUAUCCGACUUUUAAUCGGGAGAUAUUGGUUCGAGUCCAGAAGCCGCAA
This is a non-coding RNA of Cladophialophora chaetospira, 73 nucleotides long. Lineage: Eukaryota; Fungi; Ascomycota; Eurotiomycetes; Chaetothyriales; Herpotrichiellaceae. The record is from the annotation of a GenBank genome assembly.